GUCAGGGGAAAUGGGUCCGGGGCGGUGUUAGGGGCCCCGCGCGGAGAGCGGUCAUUAUUCUUAUUUGAAAUUUGCAAGCACUUCUCCCGUCUUCCUCUUACGUUGAGAGACUGCAAUUAUCCUGAGUGAACCAACUUCUGAGCUUACACCCGAAAGAACGGAAGGCAGGGACUCAAACAGAUGCCUGUCUACCCAAAUUGAUCGCAGCGCUGUUCGCAAUAACCAAAAGAUGGAAGGAAACAACCCAACUGUCCAUCAGCAGGGGGUAGACAAACAAAAUAUGGCUGUUCCAUACAACAGACCAUUAUUCAGCCGUAUCGAGGAAGGAGGUCCUGACACCUUCCACAACAUGAUGGGUCUCGAGGGCACGUGUAAGCGAAAUAAGACAGUCACGAAAGGACCAAUGUCAUAGGACUCGGCUUAUACAACGUCUCCAGAGAAGUCAGAUUCAUAGACGCAGAAAGGGCAGUUUCAGUUUGGGAAGAUGAAGAGAACACGUCGGGACUCAAGUCACG
Long non-coding RNA from Lynx canadensis (Canada lynx), 515 nucleotides. RefSeq lists it as uncharacterized. The transcript is spliced from 3 exons. The record is from RefSeq and is a predicted model, not a curated record. NCBI's taxonomy places the organism in Eukaryota, Metazoa, Chordata, Mammalia, Carnivora, Felidae.